UACAGAGGGUGCAAGCGUUAAUCGGAAUUACUGGGCGUAAAGCGUGCGUAGACGGUUGCGUAAGUCAGAUGUGAAAGCCCCGGGCUCAACCUGGGAAUUGCAUUUGAGACUGCGUAGCUAGGGUGCGGAAGAGGGAAGCGGAAUUUCCGGUGUAGCGGUGAAAUGCGUAGAUAUUGGAAGGAACACCAGUGGCGAAAGCGGCUUCCUGGUCCAGCACCGACGUUCAGGCACGAAAGCGUGGGGAGCAAACAGG
RNAcentral lists this ribosomal RNA (253 nucleotides) under uncultured bacterium. Its description in RNAcentral is "partial 16S ribosomal RNA". It matches the Rfam family "Bacterial small subunit ribosomal RNA", at positions 524 to 776 of the family's 1533-position model. The record is from RNAcentral.